Molecule: non-coding RNA, 403 nt
Organism: Gracilinanus agilis (Agile Gracile Mouse Opossum)
Lineage: Eukaryota; Metazoa; Chordata; Mammalia; Didelphimorphia; Didelphidae
Source: the annotation of a RefSeq genome assembly
GCUGAGCUUUUGGGGUCCUCUCACCAUGGCUUGGCCUAUUAUUAGCCUGCUACUGCUCACCUUCUGCUCAGGCUCUCUAUCACAGCUGGAGCUGACUCAACCUCCCUCUGUCUCUGCAUCCCCGGGGAGCACAGCCAGACUUGCCUGCACCCUGAGUGGUAGGUACAGUGGUCAUGAUGUUUAUUGGCACCAGCAGAGCCCAGGAAAGGCUCCUCGGUAUAUCCUGUAUGUUGGCAGCAGUGGAGGUGUAGGAAAGGCCGAUGGGAUCUCUGAGCGCUUCUCAGGCUCUGCCUCUGGGGCCAAUAGAGUCCUGUCCAUCAGCAACGUCCAGCCUGAGGAUGAAGCCGAUUAUUACUGUCAGUCAUAUUACUACUCUAGUGGUAAUUAUCCUAAUACACAAUGA